GUGGGGAAUAUUGGGCAAUGGGGGAAACCCUGACCCAGCAACGCCGCGUGAAGGAAGAAGGUUUUCGGAUCGUAAACUUCUAUCCUUGGUGAAGAUAAUGACGGUAGCCGAGAAGGAAGCCCCGGCUACCUACGUGCCAGCAGCCGCGGUAAUACGUAGGGGGCAAGCGUUGUCCGGAAUGAUUGGGCGUAAAGGGCGCGUAGGCGGCCUGGUAAGUCUGGAGUGAAAGUCCUGCUUUUAAGGUGGGAAUUGGUUUGGAUACUGUAGGGCUUGAGUGCAGGAGAGGUAAGUGGAAUUCCCGGUGUAGCGGUGAAAUGCGUAGAGAUCGGGAGGAACACCAGUGGCGAAGGCGACUUACUGGACUGUAACUGACGCUGAGGCGCGAAAGUGUGGGGAGCAAACAGGAUUAGAUACCCGAGUAGUCC
This 425-nucleotide ribosomal RNA is filed under the name uncultured bacterium. RNAcentral's name for it is "partial 16S ribosomal RNA". It matches the Rfam family "Bacterial small subunit ribosomal RNA", at positions 354 to 796 of the family's 1533-position model. The record is from RNAcentral.